This is a long non-coding RNA of Pan troglodytes (chimpanzee), 878 nucleotides long. RefSeq lists it as uncharacterized. The transcript has 4 exons. The record is from RefSeq and is a predicted model, not a curated record. NCBI's taxonomy places the organism in Eukaryota, Metazoa, Chordata, Mammalia, Primates, Hominidae.
AACAAACAGGAAGGUGGCUGCCACUUCCAGCGGCUUCACGGCAGAGCUUGUGCAAUCGCAGGACACAGCCUGGAUGGCCGAAGACAGCAGGGCAGUUGUGAACGGUCUACGCCAUGUCUCCUGCCCAAACCCUUUUCUGCUGCUCCCAACCAGAAAAUAAGGAUGGAGACAGCCUGCAGCCCCUCCUUUGCCAGUGAAAGAUCUGGUGGGGAGGCGUGGGGUCUCUGGGGGUCGGGGGGACAGGUAUGACGAUGCUGGUGCCCAUCUCUCUGGGGCAUUCCACCCCCUUUGGACUUCAUUGUCCCUGCUGUGUCACCAGGGGCCCUGCCACGCCCUGCCUCCGAGUGUGUGGGAUCUGUACCUGCUUUGCCCCCACUGGCCGCUUUCUCCAGGGCAGCCAUGAACAUCUCCAGUGUCCUCGGAGCAAGGAAGGAACGCUUCCUGGAGCAGAAGUGGCCACAAUGACGCUAGGUCAGCAGAUGGCCGCAGAGGCCUGGGCAGUGACCGGUCGGAGAACAAAGCCUGAGGUGUUCCCAGGCCGGUUUCCACGGGAGUCUUGGCAGUGACCCGUGCACGGAGGAGACGCGUGCCUUCCUGGCCCCCCAGUUUGGAUUCCUGGUGCCUCUAAGGUCUGCUGAUGGCGGAGCUGCACCCGGGAUAUUGCCACGGUUUCUACAGGACUGAACAAAGGGGGACCAACACAGAAAUGAAAACUUAAAACAAAACAGCCACUAAGGAAGGCGCAGAGGGACUUCCUUUCGGCCUGCAACAGUAUCUGUGCUGCCCAAGUUUCCUGGCACCACUGAUUGGAGACACUGUCCUUUUUCGGAGGAGUGAAUACACUCCCGUCGUUCAGACAUUGCAGUUAUCCAGCCCAG